Long non-coding RNA from Aphis gossypii (cotton aphid), 1540 nucleotides. RefSeq lists it as uncharacterized. The record is from RefSeq and is a predicted model, not a curated record. Lineage: Eukaryota; Metazoa; Arthropoda; Insecta; Hemiptera; Aphididae. The transcript has 3 exons.
UAUUCGUUUGACGGUUUGUUGUGUUCACCUGUUAGAUAAUGGUCGAAUAAUAUUAUAUCUAUGCGUUUACCACCGUUGCGGCAUCGUUGGUGGCAGCGCGGCGCGCGGUUUAAAUGUGUUUGCGGCCGAAAAAACGACAAUUCAAACCGAAAUACCGAUCGUGUGUCUAUACGCACACUGAGACACGACUACACGAGCCUUAUCGGACCGAUACAAGAGUACAAGACGCUCGACUGGGCCACUAGACGUCGUCGUCACUGCUCGGUGUGCUCUUGCGUAGUAGUGCGCGUCGGUAAAGUCGGUUAGAAAAUGUGCCGUUAGCGAACGACCGAAUUUCAUUGCACGAACCACGCUCCCGAUCAGUCGAUAUUAGGUCUCGAAGAGACGCGAAGAUUCAUUCAUUAUUUCUCAGACAACUAAAUCGUAAAACACGAAUCUUCUAUAAUAAUAAGUGUGGCAAAGCGUUCAAUAUGAAGUAUAUUAUUAUGUGUUCAUCUGCUAGUUUUUAACUGUAGAAUAUUGGGGCCGCGUACUUCUCGAGUCAAAACCAAGUUGUCUAGUACAUUAAAGAAUAUCUUUGCAAAAAUGUUCGCCAGUGCCUUCGAAAAAUCUCAAUACAUCAUUUCUGCUUAAAUAUUUGCACCAACUUCCCAAAUGUCAAGGAUUAUGUUGAAACAUGAAAUAAUAGAUUUAACAAGAACAAGAACAAUCAAAUAUUAAAAGACGGUUUUCCGUUGUUGUUGAGGAUAAAAUCAAAUUAGUACACAUACGGCAUCAAUGGCAGAUAAAAAUCAACCAUCAUCUUCAGAAAAUGAUCAGCCCUUCAGGCUUCCAUGGCCUGAGAAUUCAUUAAUGCAGAGGCGGAUGAAUAGAUAUGUUGCAGAAUGGGAAAGGCAGAAAGACGAUGCUGCAAACAUGAAUAGAGAUGAAAUUACAAAAAACGAAAAUACCUUAGCAUCACAAAAUAAUACUAAAAAAGAUAAACAAAAGUGAUGCCUUUUCAUAGGCACAACUAGGGGGGGGGCUAAGCCCCCCAAACUACUCGAAGCCCCUUCAAAAAAAAAAAAAUAUUUUACCUUUGGUUUAGUUUUGAGGUGGGGCUAUAAACAAGAAUAGCCCUACUAAGAUUUAGUGCUAAUUGCGCCACUGUGCCUUUUAUUUAUUUUUCAUUGUAUUAUAAACUGUUAAUAUGUACAUUAUUAUUUUUAUGUUUUAGUGCGAAAAUGUUUAUGUUUAUUUUAUGUGUUUAACAAUUUUAAUUGUUGUAUAUUAUUCAAUACAUCAGCUCAUAUUUUGAACUUGAAUAGGUCACAUUACCAAGCAUAUUUUUAAAUUAGUUCAUCCAUUAGUCAUGAGUCAUAACCCAUACUAUCUUAUCUUCAUGGUUGUAGACACGGGGAGAAUAUCGGGGAUGGGUCCCCAUGAUCUUUUUUAUACAUUUUGUAAUGAAUCAAAAAUGAAGUUUAGCGUUUUAAUAUUUAAGAAACAUUACCUUAUAACAAUAUAUGAAUUUUAGGGACUUCUUUAUUUAUUAAUUAUA